This 1606-nucleotide long non-coding RNA is filed under the name Heterocephalus glaber (naked mole-rat). RNAcentral's name for it is "lncRNA (ENSHGLG00100036822.1)". Lineage: Eukaryota; Metazoa; Chordata; Mammalia; Rodentia; Bathyergidae. The record is from RNAcentral.
CAUCAGUGUAUCACUGAUAAUGAUACAAAUGAAAAGUCCAACCACUAAGUUCCCAAACUGCAAACUGGAUAGCAGACAGUGAGACAUCUUAGCCAUUGUGGACUUAAUCUCAUGUUCCACCAGGAAGAAGAAGGGAGGCAAGACAUGUAUGUCUACAAAGAAUAUUGCUGUAUAAUUUAGAUAUGUGGCAUCCACUGAAAGCCUCAUGUAUUGGAAGCUCAUUGGAUCCUGAGGCCAGCGUGCUCAUCAGUAGCACCAUAAUAUGGACAUGAGAAAGCACAACAAAUACUGAUGAUCAUAGGAUCCUAAUUGAUGUGCGUCUAAUCUGCCCCCAAGAUGCUUUAUGGCCCACACCAAGUUAUUAUCAACCACUUGGAACAUCACAAAUUAGAAAACAAUAAUAUUUCAGAAUGAAAUAUCAUUUGGGGACCAUCCAGAAUCCACCCUACAAUGGAGGCUUGAAGUGCAACUCCCAGAAUUCAGAGCCCAGUCUAAGGCAUUGAAGUGUGGAGACCAUGAUGAGCUGGACACAUCUACAAGUCCCCACUGGGAUAGAGAGGACAGAAGCUGGGCCAGUGAGUCCAGGAUCACUGGAUUCACAGACCAACACGGGGAAGAGACAGGAGGCAUCUCUGGCUUCACACUUUCCUGGCACAGUGACAGCAAUGAUAGGAGAGGCAGAGAAAAGAAGACGAUGACUAGAAGUUUAUUUUAGAGGCAAUGUGACAAAACACCAGUUGUGGAAGGAGAAGCAAGACAAAGAAGAAAAGGCAGUAACAGAAGCUCUGUAGACUGUCUGCAAAAUAAUGAUGAAGAAGAUAAUGACUAGGAUGAGCAUGAGGAUUAUUUGGAUCAUCUAUUGCUUUAUAACAAAUUGCACCAAACCUAUAAGAACUCAGUAGCAACUACAGGGUGAGUAGCUCUUACCUGAAAUGUUAAGGACAAGAAGUGAUUGAGAAUUUUGGCUUUUUUUCAGCUUUGGGAAUAUUUGCAUGCACAUAAUGAGACAUGCUGGGGAUGGGACUCGAGACCCUGCAUUUCUGUCACAUACUCCUUAUUCACAUAAACUGAAUUUUAUACAAUACUUUCAAUAACUGAAUACACAAAAAAUAAUCUUAUGGCAUAGAAGUUUCUACCUGUGGCACCAUGUCAGUGCUAAAAAAGUGUUAGGUUUUGGAGCAUUUCACAUUUUACAUUUUCAGACGAUUAAGAAUACUCAUUUUCCAGCUUAUGUCUAUCUAUUUAUGUUCAGAUAGGGCUUACUGGGUGACACCUGUUGGCACCUGGGGUGGUCUGUAGAGUGUAGACUGCUCUCACUAAUAUACCUGGUACUUGAAUGGGGGCAGCUGGAAGACUCAGCUGGGCCACUCUCCCUCACCAAGUACAUAUAACAGUGAUCCAUGUGAUCUUUCCAGCAGGGUGGUUGGAAUUUUUUACAUAAUGACUGAGAAUUAAGAGAGUACAGGUGAAAACUAUAAUUUUUCAGUGGGUAAGUUUCUAUCUACCAUAGCAUCACUCUAAACGUGCACUGCCAGCCAAAGAACUUAUAUGCUAGCUUAGAAAGAAGGAACAAAAGGAGGGACACUGUCACUGGGUAGGGCCUGAG